GCACGAAAGUUAGCCGGGGCUUCUUCUGCGGGUACCGUCAUUAUCUUCCCCGCCGAAAGAGCUUUACAACCCUAAGGCCUUCAUCACUCACGCGGCAUGGCUGGAUCAGGCUUGCGCCCAUUGUCCAAUAUUCCCCA
This 137-nucleotide ribosomal RNA is filed under the name uncultured bacterium. Its description in RNAcentral is "partial 16S ribosomal RNA". The record is from RNAcentral.